UCCUACUGACAGCCAUCACCACCUUCUACCUGUACUACAAGACCACCAGGAGGCAGAGGAGAGUGAACAGGGUGAGCGGCAUGGCUCUUUAUGUUGGUGCUGUGUCUCCCUAGACCACCAGGAGGCAGAGGAGAGUGAACAGGACCACCAGGAGGCAGAGGAGAGUGAACAGGGUGAGCGGCAUGGCUCUUUAUGUCGAUGCUGUGGAGAUGGUCUCUCUGAGCUCCAGAGCUGAAGCAGGGCCGGGAGAGGAGAGAGCAGCCCAGGGGACUGAGUAGGAGUAGAAUGACGCUGACCCUACAUGCUUAUCUUAGGUCAGUUCUGUGUUUUAAAAUCGAUGGUCAGGGGAGCACUGGUGUAUAUAAUGCUGAUCUCAGGUCAGUUCUGUGUUUUAACAUCGAUGGUCAGGGGAGCACUGGUGUAUGUAAUGCUGAUCUCAGGUCAGUUCUGUGUUUUAACAUCGAUGGUCAGGGGAGCACUGGUGUAUAUAAUGCUGAUCUCAGGUCAGUUCUGUGUUUUAACAUCGAUGGUCAGGGGAGCACUGGUGUAUAUAAUGCUGAUCUCAGGUCAGUUCUG
Molecule: long non-coding RNA, 576 nt
Organism: Coregonus clupeaformis (lake whitefish)
Lineage: Eukaryota; Metazoa; Chordata; Actinopteri; Salmoniformes; Salmonidae
Exons: 3
Source: RefSeq, a predicted model, not a curated record